CAGCAAGGCAUUUCGUAUCAAGCGGGCGUUCCCGUCAAACAGAUUAAAUCCGCGCUGUAGUCAUCUGCAGCAGGGUUACAGCCUGUGACGUACUCAGCGGCGUGCACGUGCACGAAGUAUGUGCGUGUGCGCGCGUGGGUCUGUGGGGUUGUUGAGGAACUGCAGCUGAAUCGGAGACAGAAAGCGACGACUCCACAGCUCGACAGGCUGCUCCUCUGAGCUUAACACCUGGAGAAGAAGGAGCUUAGGAAUGAUGAAGCAAGUUUCAGAGGGAAGAUGUGUUUUGGGAGCCAGUUGGAUCAGGAUCUUCAGGAAUGUGGGACUCUUGUGGUGUUUUUUUUUUUUUUUUCUUCUUCUUUUUUUGGGUGGACUCUUUUUCUCUCCAACAUGAACCUCAGGAUUCCUGAAGGAAGUUCUUUAAAUGUUGUUCCUGCCCUCCAACCAAAGGGAGCAUCCCGUUUCCUUUUCUUCAUGUGAAGAUCUGAUUGUUUUCUCAUGCUAAUCGGCUCCCAUUCAGGGACGAAGGCGAAGGCCCCAGGACCAGUGGGGGGAGCUUGGGAUCGUCGGAGGUGGCGUGGAAUCUGUGUUGAGCUUUAGAGAAGUGAAACCAGGCUAGAGGAGGCUUUGUUUUGCUCCAAUGAAUCAGUAUUCUUUUGAGAGGGAGUCUAAAGAGCUCUUUCAGCCGCCCCGGCCUCCUCCUCCUCCUCCUCUACUUCGUUGGUAGGGAGCAGACUGGAGGCCUGCUGAGAGCCGGUUCUUUCUCGAUGAAAGGCUGCAGGAGGAGCGAGGAGGCCAGCUGACAUGUGAAAGAGAAGCAGAGCUCUCAUGAAAGAGGAGUCUGUCAUCUCCCAGCACAAAGAGCCAGCUCACAUCUGAAGCAUCCAUCGUCCCGCAGAAACACGGAUCAGGACGUGUGCUGGCGGCGCAACACGCUCUGCAUACAUUAGCCCACUUCCAUAAUCCUGCAACUCAGAUUAUUGGGUUUAAACUGCCUCAGAUUGGAGGAGGAGGAGAUUUGACCCGGUCCCAGUCUGGACCAUCUGGUCCGGCCAGACGGAGCCUUCAGCAGAUUAAAGCGACAACAGAAGGGCUUCAAAGCUGAAAAAUCAGAUUAUUUUGUUAGAAACUGUCAGCAGGAGGCUUCUGGUGGUGGAGUACCCAAAAUCUGUACAGAGUAAGAGCAGCACUACUUCAACAUACUUUAGUCAAGUAAAAAGUAGCCGUCCAAGAAAUUAGUCAA
Poecilia latipinna (sailfin molly) is the source of this 1240-nucleotide long non-coding RNA. RefSeq lists it as uncharacterized. The transcript has 2 exons. The record is from RefSeq and is a predicted model, not a curated record. NCBI's taxonomy places the organism in Eukaryota, Metazoa, Chordata, Actinopteri, Cyprinodontiformes, Poeciliidae.